GGUACCUUGGCCGAGAGGUUAGGCACCGGUCUGCAAAACCGUAUACAGCAGUUCGAAUCUGCUAGGUACCUCCA
Molecule: transfer RNA, 74 nt
Filed under: Bacteroidales bacterium
Lineage: Bacteria; Pseudomonadati; Bacteroidota; Bacteroidia; Bacteroidales
Also listed under: 1 other name
Description: tRNA-Cys
Rfam family: tRNA
About the family: Transfer RNA (tRNA) molecules are approximately 80 nucleotides in length. Their secondary structure includes four short double-helical elements and three loops (D, anti-codon, and T loops).
Source: RNAcentral